Molecule: transfer RNA, 85 nt
Filed under: Brevundimonas bullata
Lineage: Bacteria; Pseudomonadati; Pseudomonadota; Alphaproteobacteria; Caulobacterales; Caulobacteraceae
Also listed under: 15 other names
Description: tRNA-Leu
Rfam family: tRNA
About the family: Transfer RNA (tRNA) molecules are approximately 80 nucleotides in length.
Source: RNAcentral
GCGAGCGUGGCGAAACUGGUAGACGCAGCAGACUUAAAAUCUGCCGACUUCGGUCUUGCGGGUUCGACCCCCGCCGCUCGCACCA